This 76-nucleotide transfer RNA is filed under the name Clostridia bacterium. RNAcentral describes it as "tRNA-Lys". It matches the Rfam family "tRNA". Rfam says of the family: Transfer RNA (tRNA) molecules are approximately 80 nucleotides in length. Their secondary structure includes four short double-helical elements and three loops (D, anti-codon, and T loops). The record is from RNAcentral. Lineage: Bacteria; Bacillati; Bacillota; Clostridia.
GCGCCUUUAGCUCAGUUGGUAGAGCAACUGACUCUUAAUCAGUGGGUCCGGAGUUCGAGUCUCCGAAGGCGCACCA